CCAAAGUGCUGAGAUUAUAGGCAUGAGCCACUGUGCCCAGCCCUGAAUGGUCAUUUUUAAUUUUAGGCAAUAGCUCCUGAGGAUAAAGACUGGAUAUACGCUGCUGAUAUGAUACCAAGACAUCCUGUUCUUCAUCUUCUUACACCUAUUUGGACAAGCACUAAUGCCUUUGUAGUCUCAUUGAAAAAUCUCCAGGAUAGCUUUAUUAAUAGGUAGUUUACCACUUUUGAAACUAGAUUGAGAAAAUGAAAGUAAAUCCUUAAAAAAAUCCCUGAGGCUCCCAGGUGUUCAGUCACUUUGGCAUGAGAUGGCACACAUCUGGGUGUGAUCAUCUGGGACAAAAUGCAGCUGAAGAGAUGAGAGGUAACAGUCUGAUGAAUGCAAACACAGUCUGUAAUGAGGGGUCCACUCAGUCUUAAUGACAAGCAGUCACAAUGUCUGUGGUGCACUCACCACUGUGCAGCAGCCUCUGUAUGUGACCAGGUAGCAAAUGGCUUCUGUUUAUCUUUGAAGGGAGAAGGGAAUAAGCUCAGGUGUGAUUUUAACUUGGCAUCACUGUUCAAGUACUAGAAUGAAUAACUGUUCCUUUUUCUAAGUUUCUAGAUAAUGCAGACAUUAAUCAAGGUUCCUUCCCCACAACUCCUAUAGUCAAGGGCCAGGCAUGCAAACUAAGUCAAGCUCCUUAAGCUCACUUUUUCUGGAAUUUGGAAACUGAGUUGAAUGAAAUUAGGAUGUGGGUAAUCAGAUUCACUCUCUGGUGACACCCCAAGUACCUGUCUCUUCCUUUCUGCUACCUGGAUUCCAAGCCUUACCUUGCUUUCUUAAUUCCCUAAGGAAUUAUGACCACCCUAAGGUCUUGUUGCCCUGUUGGAUUCCAUGUGCUAACUUAGGGAUUGGCGAAGUUCUGAAAAGGACCCGGGAGUAAAUAUUUUAGACUUUUCUGGAUGUGCAUUCUCAGUCACAGCUAUUUCCCUCUGCCACGGCAGUGCAAAACAGCCACAGAAAAUGUGUAAACAAAUGGGCAUGGCUGUGUUCCAAUAAAUCUUAUUUAUGGACACCGGAAUUUGAAUUUCAUAUAAUCUUUAUGUCAUGAUAUGUUAUUCUUGUUCUGAUUUUUUCAACUAUUUGUACGUAUAAAAACGAUUCUUAGCGUGUGGGCUGCACAAUGAUAGACAGCAGGACAGAUUUGAUCUGACCUCAGAGCUAUAUCCUUGAACUGACCCAUCUCCUUCCAAUAACUUCCUUUAUUUUACCUAAUCUUACCCAGGCCAAUUUUUGUUGCCUGCCACCGAAGACUGACUAUAAUGUGUCUUAAAUUUGUUUGUAUCUAAAGGAGAUUGGCUACAAGAUUCCCCAACACUAUUCAUUCCUUAUUUGUUCAUUCAUGCAUUCAAUCCGUGUUGAGCACCUUUUAUACUCAGGCGACUGUAAUAGGCACUGAGAAUACAGCUAUAAUUUAGGCUAAUACAGUUCUGCCUUCCUGAGGGAGCUUUCUCUGUAACAGGCACAGACAAUCCUGAUGAGAGACAAAGGAAGGUAUUUAAAGAAUCAUCUGUGGCUUUACAGAAUGUUCUCUGGGGAGCUUGAAUGUUCAAAAGACAUAUUCUACAGAAAAAGAAAAAGUGACGGAGUCCAAGAUGGUUAUAAUAGGGUGACCACAAACAUGUAAAAGAGGACCAGAGAAGUUUGACUCAAAAAUAAGCUGAAACUUAUUGGGGGAAAGAUAGGACUAUCAAAGUGGGGGGUUUAAAGCUCUAGUUUGUAGAGAAGGAAGAGGAAUAAGCUAUUAAAAUCUAAAAACCAAUGUACACAUGAUGCACUUGAUUUAAGGAAAUUUUUGUUGCUUAAAAAUAGAAACAAACAAAUAUUACAGAUGACACUGGUUUAUGUUCCACAUUUUCCAGGUUUAGCUCUUUUUCCAAGAUGACAGGUAAUUAGAAAGGCAAAAUCAGAGUUCUUACUUUUCAAGUCCUCAUUGGUGAUUCUAUAUUCUUCCUCUCCUCUGUUAUUUAUUUAAUACCCUGAUACUUAGAUUUUAGAGGUCUGUCCUAAUAUUAAAAAAAAAAAAAUCUCCCCAGCUGAAAAUAUAAGCCUUGGCCCCGCUUGUCAUGUACUCGGAGAAAAUGAGUUGGGGCUGCCUUCUCUACCAUGCCUUUCUAAAGUGCCACUAAAGAAAAAUUGUUACUAGGUUGACCCUAAGACUGUCAUUUUCUAGGCUUGAUUCACUUGGGUGAAUGCAACUCUUCCUAGAAGAAUUAGAGUGAAAGUCCAUUAUGAAGUGGCUUAUCAGAUUGAAUCUUACUUAGUUCCUCUUUAUCUUCAGGGGAUACAUAUAUUUGUAGAGGAUAUAUACAUACUUACGAUACAUUAUUAGUUCCUCCUUAUCUGCAGAGGAUACAUUCCAAGACCCCAGGAGACACCUGAAACCCCAGAUAGUACCCAUCCUAUGUAGCCCUGUUAGAUUCCAUGUUAGGGACUGGCAAAUGUCUACUAUGUUUUUUCAAACUGUAUGUGAAUACCUAAGAUGAUGUUUAAUUUAUAAACUAGGUGCAGAGAUUAAUAACAACUAAUCAUAAAAUAGAACAAUUAUGACAAAAUGCUGUAACAAAAGUUACAUGAAUGUGGUCUCUCUUUGGUUCUCUCUUUCUCUCUCCCAAAAUAUCUUAUUAGACUGUACUCACCCUCUUUUCCCUGUGAUUUGUUGAUCUGAUAACUGAGAUAGUUACUAAAUGAUGAAUGGGUGGGUAAAAUACACAGCGUGGUACAUUGCACAAAGGAAUGAUUCACAUCCUGGAUGGGAUGAAGUAGUACAGCCCAAGAUUUGGCAUAAUAUUCAGAAUGUGUGCAACCUAAAACUUUUUAUUUCUGAAAUUUUCCAUGGGUCACCGAACCUUUGAAAGGUGAAACCACAGAUAAGGAGAAACGACUGUCAUAUGGAGCAGAGAGUUCCAAACUUCUGUCUCUUCUAGUCUUGGCUUGCCAAUGGAGAUGAACUUAGGAAUGCCUAUUUCAUCAAAUAGAGAUGGUGCUGGACUCACAGCAAGAGCUCAAGAAACACAUGGAAAUGCCAUAGAACCAUUUUUUCCCAAAACAAUUUUUCAAUGUCCUAAAAUGAAAACAAACUAGCUAAAAUGAUGGCUAAAGACACCCUUGGGAAUAUAUUCCAGACUCACCAUGAUAUUGUUCAUUAAUGGAACUACACAGCUGUAAGAAAAUCAUUCAUGAGUAUUUAGCAGAUCAUAUAACCAAUUAACCUCAUUUUUUAUUAUGACAUAUAUAUUCACAUGUGUGUGCCUAUGUAUAUAAUUAUGCACUAAUAUUACUCUAUAAAUAUUUAUUGAUAAAAAUUCUUUGUGUUUUUAAAUAUAAGGUAAAAUAUCACUUGAAGUAGCAUUAAGAAACUUAACUUUAAGGCACGGUUUGGUGCCUUCUCUCAAAAAUCUCAACUAUUAUUUACCACUCCCUGGUUUAAUCUUUAUUUUCUAUUUUUUCUCACAUGGCUAAUUAUAAAUCUGAUUUUCACCUCUAAUGGUAUUUUAUCACUAAACCCUAGCCCAUAUAUUCUGGUUUUGAUAGGUUCACUAGAGCUAUUACCUUCAUCAUCUCUAUUCACAGAACCAACCAGCACUAAAAAACUGGCAAGUAUCUGAAGAAAACUAUCUAGACCAGAGCUUUCAGCACACAGACAUUCAAAAUGUGACUUUAGUUUUUAAUUCUCCAGGUUAAAGAAACAAUAUUAUAGAUUAUCUUUUUCUGCUCUCAGAAGCCACGCAUUUAUUCUUGGAGUAAGCAUAGGGGAAGAGGAUUGAUUGCCCAAAGGAAAAACUCAAGGUACGGUUAUCAGAACAAGGGAAAUAAGUGUUGAGCAAGCAAAAGCUAACCAAAACUUGUGUAUAUUUUCAGACCACACUAAGGCAUAAAAAUAUGUAAGCAUUCUAUCCUGUUUGAAACAAAACUGAGCCCCAUAUUUUACAGUGCAAAUUAUUUAAGAGAGAAAUAAAAUACACUGAAUUAUAAAAAUAAGCAGUAUUUUUUAAAAGCACAACAACUAGAAUAAUCUAGUGCUUCCUCAAUCAUAACUACCAAUUAAUAAUCAACUCAGGUCUAUUCACUAUGUCUUGAAUAUCAAAAGUUAGAAGAACUAUACCUGUUCUAAAAUUGGACUAUGCAGUAAGAGAGGACUUGGCCUCGGCUUUUAUCUGCUGAUAGGUUAAUUGGUUUUAAUUAGCUUGCAUACCUUAUCAGAACCAAAAUAGUUUCUUUAGUCUGCUAAAUCUUUGGAGCAUAGUGAAUACUUUUUAUAAGUAACUUUUUCCAUUAGUUACAAAAUGCUAUAGCUUCUCUCCUUCUCAGGACUCAGUUUGACUCCCAUUUGUUCACACUUCUGUAUGUGGAAACAAUUCUAGAAGUUUCCAAAAUAUAUAGUUGGUAUUUACUUGUCCUAGUAGCUGUGACCUCACCAGACACUCUGCUAUGAGCCCACUGCUGUGGCUCCUCUUUCCAAGUGGUCUAGACUGGAUUUUUCCCUGCCUCUUUCUCAGCCUGGUUCUCUAGGCUCAAAAGGGAAAAUUCCAUUUAAUCCCCUGUUCUGAAAUUAACCAGAGUCAAUUUCUGCUGCUUAAAAUAAAAUAUCCCUAUCUGAAAAGCAUUUAUCCAACUAAUGUUUUCUAAAUGCCCACAAUCUGUCAGGCAUUUGCGUUUCACUGUUGGGUAAACAAUAGGUCUCUGCUUGUAGAAGCUCACACAGUAGAAGACAUAAUUAUAAAAAUGGUGAUAUGAAGGCUGUCUGAUAAAAGAUGGUAGUUGUGGGAGCUAUGGUAUGUUUCUUUAAAUAUGUUACGAUGGUUUGAAUGUUUCCCCCAAAAGCUCAUGUACUGGAAACUUAAUCCCUCAUCUCUCACUAAUGGAUUAAUGUUGGCUCUGCCCUCAUGAGUAGAUUAGUAGAUUAAUGAGGGUUCUGCCCUCAUUUAUGUUAUCACAGGAGAGGGUUUAUUAUCUGGAGAAUAGAUUUGUUGUAAAAAUAAACUGUAUCUGACUGUCUUGCUCCUGCCUUUUUGCCAAGAGCCUUAUGCCCUCUGACAUGUUAUAACACAUAAGAAGGCCCUUAUGAGGUACAGGUACUAUGUUCUUAGACUUCUCAGCCUCCAGAAUUGUGAGCUAAAUAAACUUUUUUUCUUUAUAAAUUACCCAUUCUUUAAUUUCUUAUAGCAACAGAAAACAAAUUAAGACAGAAAAUUCUACCAAGAAGUGGGAUUGUUGGUAUAACUAAUACCUAGAAAUGUGGAAAUGGCUUUGGAACUGGAUAAUGGGCAGAAGCUACAAGAAUUUGGAGGAGUAGGCUAGAGAAAGUCUUUAUUAUCAUGAAUGGAGCAUUAAGAGUGAUUCGAGUGAAAGCUGGAAUAAGAGAAGACUAGGGAAAGUCUGGACCUUAGAGAUUACUUAAGUAGCUAUGACUAGAAUGUUGAUAGAAAUAUGGACAGAAAAGGCUAUUCUGAUAAGGUCUCAGAAGGAAAUGUGAAAGAAGGUGUUGGAAACUGGAAUUAAGACCCCCUCCCCCACCUUGUUAUUAGGUAACAAAGAACUUGGAUGAACUGUGCCUGUGCCUGAGGGUUUUAUAGAAGGCAAAAUUUAAGAGUGAUAAAUUAGGAUAUCUGGUCAAAGAAAAUAGCUAAGCUACAAACCAUGCAGGCUGCUUAAUGGCUAUUUUUAACCACUUACAGUAAAAUAUAGAGGAAGGAGUUGAUUUAAAGACAGAAUUUAUAAUUAAAAGGGAAGUAGCGUGCAAAGAUUUGGAAAACUAGCAGCCUGGUGAUGUGGUAGAGAAUGAAAGAACAUGGGACCAAUUGAGAAGGAAAUUAGUAUGGAUCAAAGAAAGCCAGAGGCUAUUCAUCAAGACAUUUGGGCGAUAAACUUGAAAGAUAUUUUAGAGAUCAUUGAGGCUGCCUUUCCCAACACAGGCCCAGAGCUCCAAGAAGGCAGAAUGGUUAGGGGGAUGGGCAGCUGCCAAGGGCUGCCUCAGGUCUCUGCUCUCUGCAUUUCAGCACAUGUUGAGCUCUCCAGCUGUGGCUCAAAUGGCCCCAGUGCUUCCGAAGGUAUAACUUGUAGAAGGUGUAAGUCCUAGAAGGCAUAGGUCAUAUGCCUUGGCAGUGUUCAUGUGGCUCUAAUUCUGCAGGCAUGCGGAAAGCAAGAGCUGGGAACACACAGCUUCCUCCACCGAGAUUUCAAAGGAUAUCACAAAAGCCUAGGGGCCUAGACAUAGACCAUACAGUGGUUGUCACAGAAGUAGAGUUACUGCAGAGAGACCAUACUCAGGCCAAGCUGAGCUAAAAUUUGAGAUUGGAGUCAAGGCUGCCACAAAGAGCUCCCUCUAGAGCAAUGCCUAGUAAAGCCACAGGGUCAGGGUCACCCUCAAGACUCAGGAAUUGUGCAGCCACCAGUGUGUAACACCAACCCAUGAUAGCUGCAGGCAAGGGACUCAGUCUGUGAGAACCGCUACAUAGGCAGAGCCCUCCAAAGUCAUAGGGGUGGGGUUGCCAGAAGCUUUGUGGAGGAAGGGGUCCAAAUCCCCACUGUGUCCUAGAGGCAACAGAGAGUGAAAAAUCAUUCUGAAGCUUCAACGAAUAAUAUUGUUUCUCCUGUUACAUUGUUGACUUACUUGGAACCAGUUACACCUUUUUUCUUGCUUCCUUUCCCUCUUCUGGAAUGUAAAUGUUUAUCUUGUGUCUGUCCCACCAUUGUAUUUUGAAAGUAGAUAACUUGUUUUGAUUUCAAAGGUUCACAGCUGGAGGAAAUUUGCCAUGGCAUGAAUCACGCCUGAGUCACUCAUAUCUGAUUUAAAGGAGACUCUGGACUUUGGACUUUGAGUUGAUAUUGGAAUGCUUAAGACUGUGGGGCUAUUAGGAUGGAAUUAAUGUAUUUUGCAUGUAAGAAGGACAUAAAUUUUGGGGGCCAGAGACAGAAUGCUAUGGCUAAAAUGUGUAUUCCAAAGUUUAUGUGUUGAAAAGUGAAUCCCUCUAUUCUCAUGAAUGAAUUAAUAAAUUAAUGAAUUAAUGAGGCUCUGCCCUCAUGAAUGGAUUAA
This is a non-coding RNA of Macaca mulatta (Rhesus monkey), 7078 nucleotides long. NCBI's taxonomy places the organism in Eukaryota, Metazoa, Chordata, Mammalia, Primates, Cercopithecidae. The record is from RefSeq and is a predicted model, not a curated record.